This 500-nucleotide ribosomal RNA is filed under the name uncultured bacterium. RNAcentral describes it as "partial 16S ribosomal RNA". It matches the Rfam family "Bacterial small subunit ribosomal RNA", at positions 30 to 523 of the family's 1533-position model. The record is from RNAcentral.
AUUGAACGCUGGCGGCAGGCCUAACACAUGCAAGUCGAGCGGAUGAGAGGAGCUUGCUCCUCGAUUCAGCGGCGGACGGGUGAGUAAUGCCUAGGAAUCUGCCUAGUAGUGGGGGACAACGUUUCGAAAGGAACGCUAAUACCGCAUACGUCCUACGGGAGAAAGUGGGGGAUCUUCGGACCUCACGCUAUUAGAUGAGCCUAGGUCGGAUUAGCUAGUUGGUAGGGUAACGGCCUACCAAGGGGACGAUCCGUAACUGGUCUGAGAGGAUGAUCAGUCACACUGGAACUGAGACACGGUCCAGACUCCUACGGGGGGCAGCAGUGGGGAAUAUUGGACAAUGGGCGAAAGCCUGAUCCAGCCAUGCCGCGUGUGUGAAGAAGGCCCUCGGGUCGUAAAGCACUUAAAGUUGGGAGGAAGGGCUUACAGCGAAUACCUGUGAGUUUUGACGUUACCGACAGAAUAAGCACCGGCUAACUUCGUGCCAGCAGCCGCCGUAA